This 253-nucleotide ribosomal RNA is filed under the name uncultured bacterium. RNAcentral describes it as "partial 16S ribosomal RNA". It matches the Rfam family "Bacterial small subunit ribosomal RNA", at positions 524 to 776 of the family's 1533-position model. The record is from RNAcentral.
UACGUAGGGUGCAAGCGUUGUCCGGAAUUAUUGGGCGUAAAGAGUUCGUAGGCGGUUACUUAAGUCUGGUGUUAAAGACGGGAGCUCAACUCCCGCAUGGCAUUGGAAACUGGGUAGCUAGAGUACGGUAGAGGUCACGGGAAUUCCUGGUGUAGCGGUGAAAUGCGUAGAUAUCAGGAGGAACACCGGUGGCGAAAGCGCGUGACUGGGCCGUAACUGACGCUGAGGAACGAAAGCCAGGGGAGCGAAAGGG